GAUUAUGUUUGCCAGCUGUGGUUAUUUUCCAGGCGUUAUGGAUUCCAUAUUUUGGGAGUUUUUGUAUGUUCUGCCCAACACCCAUUCUUAGCCUUUUCCAGGAUGUGUGGGAUUGUGAAUAAUUUUGACUUCAAACAGUAGAAAACAAGAAAGUUCUUGUCAUAAGUAGAAUUUUCAGAUGUAUUCAGGAUGGGGUGUAGGCAGUCUUUCAAAUAUGUUUUCUGUUUAGCAGUAGUGAUACAGGUAAAAAAGUAGGGUUGUUCUUCAGUCAGUGGUCUGAAGCGAGUCUGAAGCCUUUUUUCAAUAGGUAUAUAUAUAAGUGUAAUAAAUCAAAAGCAGCUGGAUGCAAUAAAAUAAAUUAACCCAUUACGUAGGUACAUUAAUAUUAAGUAAACAAAUGAAGUGCAGCUCAAGCAGCCAAAUCAUAACCUAAAAUUAAGCUAAAAAAUAGCUAUAAAUCACAAAAAAACUAAAAAAAAAUAUAUUUGCAUUAUAAACAACUCGUUCUUGAAUUUUUAUACUCAAAAAAAAAUUGCUUG
Limulus polyphemus (Atlantic horseshoe crab) is the source of this 539-nucleotide long non-coding RNA. RefSeq lists it as uncharacterized. The transcript is spliced from 3 exons. Lineage: Eukaryota; Metazoa; Arthropoda; Merostomata; Xiphosura; Limulidae. The record is from RefSeq and is a predicted model, not a curated record.